Molecule: ribosomal RNA, 766 nt
Filed under: uncultured bacterium
Lineage: Bacteria
Description: bacterial SSU rRNA
Rfam family: Bacterial small subunit ribosomal RNA
Source: RNAcentral
GAGUUUGAUCAUGGCUCAGAUUGAACGCUGGCGGUAGGCUUAACACAUGCAAGUCGUGCGAGAAAGUAUCUUCGGAUAUGAGUAGAGCGGCGGACGGGUGAGUAACGCGUAGGAAUCUACCUAGUAGAAGGGGAUAGCCCGGGGAAACUCGGAUUAAUACCGUAUACCUCCUUCGGGAGAAAGAAGGCCUCUCUUUGAAGCUUUCGCUAUUAGAUGAGCCUGCGUAAGACUAGCUUGUUGGUGAGGUAAAGGCUCACCAAGGCUACGAUCUUUAGCUGGUCUGAGAGGACGAUCAGCCACAUUGGGACUGAGACACGGCCCAGACUCCUACGGGAGGCAGCAGUGGGGAAUAUUGGACAAUGGGCGCAAGCCUGAUCCAGCCAUACCGCGUGUGUGAAGAAGGCCUUCGGGUUGUAAAGCACUUUAAGCAGGGAGAAAAAGUUAUAGGUUAAUACCCUAUGACCCUGAUGUUACCUGCAGAAUAAGCACCGGCUAAUUCCGUGCCAGCAGCCGCGGUAAUACGGAAGGUGCAAGCGUUAAUCGGAAUUACUGGGCGUAAAGCGCGCGUAGGUGGUUUGUUAAGUUGGAUGUGAAAGCCCUGGGCUCAACCUAGGAACUGCAUCCAAAACUAACUCACUAGAGUACGAUAGAGGGAGGUAGAAUUCAUAGUGUAGCGGUGGAAUGCGUAGAUAUUAUGAAGAAUACCAGUGGCGAACGCGGCCUCCUGGAUCUGUACUGACACUGAGUGCGAAAGCGUGGGUAGCGA